RNAcentral lists this ribosomal RNA (554 nucleotides) under uncultured bacterium. RNAcentral describes it as "bacterial SSU rRNA". It matches the Rfam family "Bacterial small subunit ribosomal RNA", at positions 931 to 1482 of the family's 1533-position model. The record is from RNAcentral.
GGUGGAGCAUGUGGUUUAAUUCGAUGCAACGCGAAGAACCUUACCUACUCUUGACAUCCAGAGAAGCCAGCGGAGACGCAGGUGUGCCUUCGGGAGCUCUGAGACAGGUGCUGCAUGGCUGUCGUCAGCUCGUGUUGUGAAAUGUUGGGUUAAGUCCCGCAACGAGCGCAACCCUUAUCCUUGUUUGCCAGCGAGUAAUGUCGGGAACUCCAGGGAGACUGCCGGUGAUAAACCGGAGGAAGGUGGGGACGACGUCAAGUCAUCAUGGCCCUUACGAGUAGGGCUACACACGUGCUACAAUGGCGCAUACAGAGGGCAGCAAGCUAGCGAUAGUGAGCGAAUCCCAAAAAGUGCGUCGUAGUCCGGAUUGGAGUCUGCAACUCGACUCCAUGAAGUCGGAAUCGCUAGUAAUCGUGAAUCAGAAUGUCACGGUGAAUACGUUCCCGGGCCUUGUACACACCGCCCGUCACACCAUGGGAGUGGGCUGCAAAAGAAGUGGGUAGUUUAACCUUUCGGGGAGGACGCUCACCACUUUGUGGUUCAUGACUGGGGUG